AGCGAACGCUGGCGGCAGGCCUAACACAUGCAAGUCGAACGAACUCUUCGGAGUUAGUGGCGGACGGGUGAGUAACACGUGGGAACGUGCCUCUAGGUUCGGAAUAACUCAGGGAAACUUGAGCUAAUACCGGAUGUGCCCUUCGGGGGAAAGAUUUAUCGCCUUUAGAGCGGCCCGCGUCUGAUUAGCUAGUUGGUGAGGUAAAGGCUCACCAAGGCGACGAUCAGUAGCUGGUCUGAGAGGAUGAUCAGCCACAUUGGGACUGAGACACGGCCCAAACUCCUACGGGAGGCAGCAGUGGGGAAUCUUGCGCAAUGGGCGAAAGCCUGACGCAGCCAUGCCGCGUGAAUGAUGAAGGUCUUAGGAUUGUAAAAUUCUUUCACCGGGGACGAUAAUGACGGUACCCGGAGAAGAAGCCCCGGCUAACUUCGUG
Molecule: ribosomal RNA, 433 nt
Filed under: uncultured bacterium
Lineage: Bacteria
Description: partial 16S ribosomal RNA
Rfam family: Bacterial small subunit ribosomal RNA
Source: RNAcentral